RNAcentral lists this transfer RNA (76 nucleotides) under Trichoglossus haematodus (coconut lorikeet). Its description in RNAcentral is "tRNA-Ser". It matches the Rfam family "tRNA". From Rfam's summary of the family: Transfer RNA (tRNA) molecules are approximately 80 nucleotides in length. Their secondary structure includes four short double-helical elements and three loops (D, anti-codon, and T loops). Lineage: Eukaryota; Metazoa; Chordata; Aves; Psittaciformes; Psittaculidae. The record is from RNAcentral.
GAGAAAGAAGCAUAAGUGGUUUAGUAUGCAGCUGGCUUGAAACCAGUGUAUGAGGGUUCGACUCCUUCCUUUCUUG